Vicia faba (fava bean) is the source of this 252-nucleotide non-coding RNA. The record is from the annotation of a GenBank genome assembly. Lineage: Eukaryota; Viridiplantae; Streptophyta; Magnoliopsida; Fabales; Fabaceae.
AUGGAAUCAUGUGAAAUAGUUCCAUCACAUGGCCAGUUAAUGACCACAUGUUGCGAAUCUAACGAAACAGAGGGAGAGUAUAUCACGAUUUUCUUCUCAUUUUCUUUUCAUUUUCACCAAGCUUUCUCUCUCUUCUUCUUAAACUCCCUAUCUUUCUCCUAUCUCUCUCCGCCUCCCAAUCUACCCGACCACCACCAAACCCUCCAAAAUAAAUCCCUAACCCAUAACAACCAUAAAAGACGACAACCAUAA